GACGAACGCUGGCGGCGUGCUUAACACAUGCAAGUGGAGCGACGAACCAGGCUUCGGCCUGGGGCAGAGCCGCGAACGGGUGAGUAACACGUGGGUAACCUGCCUCGAUGACCGGGACAACCCGGGGAAACCCGGGCUAAUACCGGAUGUGCUGCCCUCACAUCAGUGAGGGUUGGAAAGGAAGCUUCGGCCUCCGCAUCGAGAUGGGCCCGCGGCCCAUUAGCUUGUUGGUGAGGUAAAGGCUCACCAAGGCUGCGAUGGGUAGCUGGUCUGAGAGGACGAUCAGCCACACUGGGACUGAGACACGGCCCAGACUCCUACGGGAGGCAGCAGUGGGGAAUCUUGCGCAAUGCGCGAAAGCGUGACGCAGCAACGCCGCGUGGGGGAAGAAGGCCUC
Molecule: ribosomal RNA, 397 nt
Filed under: uncultured bacterium
Lineage: Bacteria
Description: bacterial SSU rRNA
Rfam family: Bacterial small subunit ribosomal RNA
Source: RNAcentral